GAUGAACGCUGGCGGCGUGCCUAAUACAUGCAAGUAGAACGCUGAAGGAGGAGCUUGCUCUUCUGGAUGAGUUGCGAACGGGUGAGUAACGCGUAGGUAACCUGCCUGGUAGCGGGGGAUAACUAUUGGAAACGAUAGCUAAUACCGCAUGACAACAGUUAUUGCAUGAUAACUGUUUAAAAGGGGCAACUGCUCCACUACCAGAUGGACCUGCGUUGUAUUAGCUAGUUGGUGAGGUAACGGCUCACCAAGGCGACGAUACAUAGCCGACCUGAGAGGGUGAUCGGCCACACUGGGACUGAGACACGGCCCAGACUCCUACGGGAGGCAGCAGUAGGGAAUCUUUGGCAAUGGACGGAAGUCUGACCGAGCAACGCCGCGUGAGUGAAGAAGGUUUUCGGAUCGUAAAGCUCUGUUGUAAGAGAAGAACGAGUGUGAGAGUGGAAAGUUCACACUGUGACGGUAUCUGACCAGAAAGGGACGGCUAACUACGUG
RNAcentral lists this ribosomal RNA (495 nucleotides) under uncultured bacterium. RNAcentral's name for it is "partial 16S ribosomal RNA". It matches the Rfam family "Bacterial small subunit ribosomal RNA", at positions 28 to 507 of the family's 1533-position model. The record is from RNAcentral.